AUAUAUGGUGAGUAUUGACAAAGUAGUAUCUAGUUUGUUGAAAACAAAGUCACCACAGGAUUUUCUUUUGGAGAAUGUAUAUAUGGAAGACAGUUCUUGGUAUUUUCUAAAGAGCACAAAAAAAUAGAGUGCUACAAUAACAUAAAGUCACAAAAAAGAUAGGAAAUAUUAUGAGAGAGAGAAGAGAGAAAUUUCACACCCAGCAUGCUUGCCCUCAAAAUGCAAGUCAAAUAGCCAAACAGUACAUUAUCAAAAUCAUAGAAAAUAAAAUAAUAUAUAGGUGAAUAAAAAGUAGUCAAAGGCAUGAUCCAUAUAUGUAUUCCAAACACUUGGAGUUGAGGCACAAAGUGCAUGUGCACACCUAAGGGAUGUGAGACACAUUUAUAAGAAUAUGUACAGGACACUUCUAUAAUGCUUUCAAAUUCUAGAUAUUACUAAUAAGGCACA
Molecule: unclassified non-coding RNA, 447 nt
Filed under: Hevea brasiliensis (rubber tree)
Lineage: Eukaryota; Viridiplantae; Streptophyta; Magnoliopsida; Malpighiales; Euphorbiaceae
Source: RNAcentral